This 460-nucleotide ribosomal RNA is filed under the name uncultured bacterium. Its description in RNAcentral is "partial 16S ribosomal RNA". It matches the Rfam family "Bacterial small subunit ribosomal RNA", at positions 338 to 795 of the family's 1533-position model. The record is from RNAcentral.
CCUACGGGCGGCAGCAGUGAGGAAUAUUGGUCAAUGGGCUUACGCCUGAACCAGCCAAGUCGCGUGAGGGAAGACUGCCCUAUGGGUUGUAAACCUCUUUUGUCAGGGAGCAAUUGGCGCUACGUGUAGCGUUAUCGAGAGUACCUGAAGAAAAAGCAUCGGCUAACUCCGUGCCAGCAGCCGCGGUAAUACGGAGGAUGCGAGCGUUAUCCGGAUUUAUUGGGUUUAAAGGGUGCGUAGGCGGACUGGAAAGUCAGCGGUAAAAUCGAGAGGCUCAACCUCUUUCCGCCGUUGAAACUGUCGGUCUUGAGUGGGCGAGAAGGAUGCGGAAUGCGUGGUGUAGCGGUGAAAUGCAUAGAUAUCACGCAGAACGCCGAUUGCGAAGGCAGCAUACCGGCGCCCGACUGACGCUGAGGCACGAAAGCGUGGGUAUCGAACAGGAUUAGAUACCCCGGUAGUC